GCUCUGAGCUCGACAGGCUCAUGGCUGUCUCUCUGAAACACUAGCCAGUUCACUGGGAGCUGCUGAUUGGUGAAGCAGCGUCACACAGAUAUGGUGUUAACUGUUGGAGGAAUGAAGUAGAGAGGCAGAGGGAGAUUGUGGGCAGGCAGCAGCAGCAGCAGCAACCUGGCGGUCGGUGCAGUGAUCUGAGCGUGGAAUGAGGAGCAGGAACUCUUGUUACUGUGCAGGAUGAUUGAGGAGUGUGGGAGAAGAGCGAAGACCAUGGCGGAGAAGAGGCAGUUAUUUAUGGAUAUGAAAUUUGUGCAGAAUUCACAAAAAUCUAUCAUCUGAGAGAAGGUGCAAGUAUCAGUCGUAGAACAAGGUAAGU
Non-coding RNA from Chiloscyllium plagiosum (whitespotted bambooshark), 367 nucleotides. Lineage: Eukaryota; Metazoa; Chordata; Chondrichthyes; Orectolobiformes; Hemiscylliidae. The record is from RefSeq and is a predicted model, not a curated record.